Molecule: microRNA, 22 nt
Filed under: Lotus japonicus
Lineage: Eukaryota; Viridiplantae; Streptophyta; Magnoliopsida; Fabales; Fabaceae
Description: lja-miR11130-3p
Source: miRBase by way of RNAcentral
UCUGGUGUCUCAUUUAGCCACA